CACUCGACACUCGGACCGGCUGCUGGCCGCGCACACUCUACUACGAGCCGUCAAGCAGUUCAGACGUGUCGAGUGCGAGAGAAGAGUGGAGCGAAACCGCUUUUGCUUUUGGUUUUGCUUUGGCGCCUUCCCAAAUCGUGUUUACUUAUCCCCUUUUUUCGAAAGCCUACUGCUACCUAACGAAUGCAAGUUCCGGCCACAGAGAGAAAGAGAGAGAGAGAGGGAUCAUAUCAGCAAAUGUAGUGAAAAAUCAAAGGGAAAGUCUCAAAAUAAAUCGUUGAGCGAGAAAAAAGUGCGUGUGCCAAGAGAUUGUUUAUUUUUAAAACGGGCAAAAACGUUGAACGGCAAACCGGCAAAAUACAAAAUACAAAAACAAAGUCAAAACAUAUAAUAACAAUAAAUUAUAUUCGCAUCAUUCAUUCAAUAAACCAACAAUAAACGGCGAAAGACAAGACACCGAAGAGCAGCGCUAUCGAUCGCCAAUAGAUCAUUAGAUCGGAUCGGUUUAAAUCCGAACUUCAGAUCAGCGGAAGUGACCAAAGAUCAAGAGACCCACCCAACAAAAUUCGAAUUUACUCGUACCCCUAAAUAUUGCGGUUCAUUGUGUGUGUGUGUGUUUUUUUAGUGUGUUUUUUCAAAGGCUUUGAAAAUGCCAUAAAAUCUUUAAUAGGUUUAUUUUAUUUACGAGUAUUUGGGUUUGCCUUUAUUCGUCGUCUUUCGUCUUCUGUGGGAAAAAAUGGCAAGAAUGCCCUCAAAAAUCGAAUCAAAAUAUUUACCGUUUUGACUGCGGAUUCAAUCGACGAUCACCCUUCGGGUGAAUCGGGACGCCUCCGCCUGCCUUCCUACAAUUGCACAGUGAAAUGCACUUUUGAAGGGGCAUCAAAAGACAGAGACAGAUACCGCCCAAGAGAGAGAGAGAGCGAAAGGGUUAGUGUGAAAGAGUGAGAAGGAGAGUAGCAGCCGCAGCA
Molecule: long non-coding RNA, 968 nt
Organism: Drosophila obscura
Lineage: Eukaryota; Metazoa; Arthropoda; Insecta; Diptera; Drosophilidae
Exons: 3
Source: RefSeq, a predicted model, not a curated record